CGGGGUAUAGCGCAGUCCGGUUAGCGCAUCCCGAUUUGACAUCGGGAGGGUCGCAGGUUCGGAUUCUGCAACCUCUU
RNAcentral lists this transfer RNA (77 nucleotides) under Bacteroidota bacterium. RNAcentral describes it as "Bacteroidetes bacterium (hydrothermal vent metagenome) tRNA-OTHER". The record is from RNAcentral. Lineage: Bacteria; Pseudomonadati; Bacteroidota.